This 465-nucleotide ribosomal RNA is filed under the name Vreelandella stevensii. RNAcentral's name for it is "partial 16S ribosomal RNA". It matches the Rfam family "Bacterial small subunit ribosomal RNA", at positions 338 to 795 of the family's 1533-position model. The record is from RNAcentral. Lineage: Bacteria; Pseudomonadati; Pseudomonadota; Gammaproteobacteria; Oceanospirillales; Halomonadaceae.
CCUACGGGAGGCAGCAGUGGGGAAUAUUGGACAAUGGGGGCAACCCUGAUCCAGCCAUGCCGCGUGUGUGAAGAAGGCCCUCGGGUUGUAAAGCACUUUCAGUGAGGAAGAACGCCUGGUGGUUAAUACCCAUCAGGAAAGACAUCACUCACAGAAGAAGCACCGGCUAACUCCGUGCCAGCAGCCGCGGUAAUACGGAGGGUGCGAGCGUUAAUCGGAAUUACUGGGCGUAAAGCGCGCGUAGGUGGCUUGAUAAGCCGGUUGUGAAAGCCCCGGGCUCAACCUGGGAACGGCAUCCGGAACUGUCAAGCUAGAGUGCAGGAGAGGAAGGUAGAAUUCCCGGUGUAGCGGUGAAAUGCGUAGAGAUCGGGAGGAAUACCAGUGGCGAAGGCGGCCUUCUGGACUGAAACUGACACUGAGGUGCGAAAGCGUGGGUAGCAAACAGGAUUAGAUACCCUAGUAGUC